GACGAACGCUGGCGGCGUGCUUAACACAUGCAAGUCGAACGGAAAGGCCCUGCUUUUGUGGGGUGCUCGAGUGGCGAACGGGUGAGUAACACGUGAGUAACCUGCCCUUGACUUUGGGAUAACUUCAGGAAACUGGGGCUAAUACCGGAUAGGAGCUCCUGCUGCAUGGUGGGGGUUGGAAAGUUUCGGCGGUUGGGGAUGGACUCGCGGCUUAUCAGCUUGUUGGUGGGGUAGUGGCUUACCAAGGCUUUGACGGGUAGCCGGCCUGAGAGGGUGACCGGCCACAUUGGGACUGAGCUACGGACCAGACUCCUACGGGAGGCAGCAGUGGGGAAUAUUGCACAAUGGGCGGAAGCCUGAUGCAGCAACGCCGCGUGCGGGAUGACGGCCUUCGGGUUGUAAACCGCUUUCGCCUGUGACGAAGCGUGAGUGACGGUAAUGGGUAAAGAAGCACCGGCUAACUACGUG
This 468-nucleotide ribosomal RNA is filed under the name uncultured bacterium. Its description in RNAcentral is "partial 16S ribosomal RNA". It matches the Rfam family "Bacterial small subunit ribosomal RNA", at positions 28 to 507 of the family's 1533-position model. The record is from RNAcentral.